This 768-nucleotide long non-coding RNA is filed under the name Gallus gallus (chicken). RNAcentral's name for it is "lncRNA (ENSGALG00010003758.1)". The record is from RNAcentral. Lineage: Eukaryota; Metazoa; Chordata; Aves; Galliformes; Phasianidae.
GUUUGGGGGGGUCCUGGUGGAUAUUGGGGGGUGGGGGGGCUGUAGGGCCGGUGGUGGCCGGGUUGGCCAAUGGGGGGCGGUGGGGGUGAGGCUGCGGGGUGCUCUGGUGGCCGUAAAGGCCAAUGGAUGGCCAACAGUUAAGCAGUGGUUGAGCAAAGGUUGAGCAGUGGUUACCCAUGAGGCAGCAGUGUGCCCUGGUGGCCUAAAAGAGCAAUGGUUGACCAGUAGUUGACCAGCAGCUCAUCUGUAGUUGACCAAUGGUUGCCCAUGAGGCUGCAGUGUGCCCUGGUGGCCAAAAAGACCCAUGGUUGACCAGUGGUUGACCAACAGUUCAUCUGUAGUUGACCAAUGGUUGCUCACGAGGCAGCAGUAUGGCCUGGUUGCCAAGAAGAGCAAUGGUUGACCAGUAGUUGACCAUCAGUUCAUCUGUAGUGGCCAAAAAGAUCCAUGGUUGACCAAUAGUUGACCAGCAGUUCAUCAGUAGUUGACCAAUAGUUGCCCAUUAUGCUGCUCUGUGCCCUGGUGGCCAUAAAGACCCAUAGUUGACCAGUGGUUGACCAGCAGUUCAUCAGUAGUUGACCAAUGGUUGCUCUUGAGGCAGCAGUGUGCCCUGGUGGCCAAAAAGACCCAUGGUUGACCAAUGGUUGACCAGCAGUUCAUCAGUAGUUGACCAAUGGUUGCCCAUGUGGCAGCAGUGUGCCCUGGUGGCCAAGAAGACCAGUAGUUGACUAAUAGUGGAACCGUGGUUGACCAACGGUGGCUCAUGAG